This 253-nucleotide ribosomal RNA is filed under the name uncultured bacterium. RNAcentral's name for it is "partial 16S ribosomal RNA". It matches the Rfam family "Bacterial small subunit ribosomal RNA", at positions 524 to 776 of the family's 1533-position model. The record is from RNAcentral.
UACGUAGGGUCCAAGCGUUAUCCGGAAUCACUGGGCGUAAAGCGUGCGUAGGUGGCGCGUUAAGUGAGGCGUUAAAUCGUGUGGCUCAACCAUAUCGAUGCGUCUCAUACUGGCGUGCUAGAGGACAGCAGAGGCAAGUGGAAUUUGUAGUGUAGCAGUGAAAUGCGUAGAUAUUACAAGGAACACCAAUGGCGAAGGCAGCUUGCUGGGCUACUCCUGACACUGAGGUACGAAAGCGUGGGGAGCGAACAGG